CCUACGGUGGGCAGCAGUGAGGAAUAUUGGUCAAUGGCCGGAAGGCUGAACCAGCCAAGCCGCGUGAGGGACGAAGGUGCAGAGAAUUGUAAACUUCUUUUGUCAGGGGACAAAAUCAGGCACGAGAGCCCGAACGAGGGUACUUGAAGAAAAAGCAUCGGCUAACUCCGUGCCAGCAGCCGCGGUAAUACGGAGGAUGCGAGCGUUAUCCGGAUUUACUGGGCGUAAAGUGCUCGUAGGCGGUAUGUCAAGUCAAGGGUGAAAUCCCCGCGCUCAACGUGGGAACGGCCUUUGAAACUGGCAAACUGGAGUGUGUGAGAGGAUAGUGGAAUGCCAGGUGUAGGAGUGAAAUCCGUAGAUAUCGGGAGGAACAUCAGUGGCGAAGGCGACUUGCUGGCACAUAACUGACGCUGAGGAACGAAAGCGUGGGUAGCGAACAGGAUUAGAUACCCGAGUAGUC
RNAcentral lists this ribosomal RNA (460 nucleotides) under uncultured bacterium. Its description in RNAcentral is "partial 16S ribosomal RNA". It matches the Rfam family "Bacterial small subunit ribosomal RNA", at positions 338 to 795 of the family's 1533-position model. The record is from RNAcentral.